RNAcentral lists this long non-coding RNA (202 nucleotides) under Elaeis guineensis (African oil palm). Its description in RNAcentral is "long non-coding RNA (EGUI_LNC058878)". The record is from RNAcentral. Lineage: Eukaryota; Viridiplantae; Streptophyta; Magnoliopsida; Arecales; Arecaceae.
CAAAAAUAAGCAUGUAAAGGGAUAGAAUUUUAUACUUUCACCAAAAAUUAAUAUGGCAUGAUGGUGAUCUCCACAAGACUCCGAAGUAGAAGCCCCCCAAUGGUGAUCCAGAUAGAAGUUGGCUAAGGUCCUUCCUAAUCGGUGUGCAGUCGCAGCCUUGUCUUCUCAAGAACACUAUCGACUUCGAACUCGAAGUACAAUC